RNAcentral lists this ribosomal RNA (458 nucleotides) under Lactobacillus delbrueckii subsp. bulgaricus. RNAcentral describes it as "partial 23S ribosomal RNA". It matches the Rfam family "Bacterial large subunit ribosomal RNA", at positions 754 to 1211 of the family's 2925-position model. The record is from RNAcentral. Lineage: Bacteria; Bacillati; Bacillota; Bacilli; Lactobacillales; Lactobacillaceae.
CGGUAAAACGCGCUGGAGGACCGAACCCACGUAAGUUGAAAAUUGCGGGGAUGAGUUGUGGGUAGCGGUGAAAUUCCAAACGAACUUGGAGAUAGCUGGUUCUCUCCGAAAUAGCUUUAGGGCUAGCCUCGCAAAGAGGAUGCUGGAGGUAGAGCUCUGUUUGGACUAGGGGCCCGUCAAGGGUUACUGAAUUCAGAUAAACUGCGAAUUCCAGACAUUUAUGUGCGGGAGUCAGACUGCGAGUGAUAAGAUCCGUAGUCGAAAGGGAAACAGCCCAGAUCACCAGUUAAGGUCCCAAAAUUCAUGCUAAGUGGAAAAGGAUGUGGAGUUGCGCAGACAACUAGGACGUUGGCUCAGAAGCAGCCAUCAUUCAAAGAGUGCGUAAUAGCUCACUAGUCGAGUGACGCCGCGCCGAAAAUUUACCGGGGCUAAGCAUGAUACCGAAACUGUGGAUGUGC